Molecule: ribosomal RNA, 375 nt
Filed under: uncultured bacterium
Lineage: Bacteria
Description: bacterial SSU rRNA
Rfam family: Bacterial small subunit ribosomal RNA
Source: RNAcentral
GACGGAGGGUGCUAGCGUUGUUCGGAAUCACUGGGCGUAAAGGGCGCGUAGGCGGCCCUGGCAGUCGGCUUGUGAAAGCCCGGGGCUCAACCCCGGAGGUGCGGCCGAAACACCAGGGCUGGAGGCCGGAAGAGGAGGGUGGAAUACCCAGUGUAGAGGUGAAAUUCGUAGAUAUUGGGUGGAACACCGGUGGCGAAAGCGGCUCUCUGGUCCGGACCUGACGCUGAGGCGCGAAAGCGUGGGGAGCAAACAGGAUUAGAUACCCUGGUAGUCCACGCCCUAAACGAUGUGGGCUAGACGUCGGGGGGCUUGCCCCUCGGUGUCGCAGCGAACGCGUUAAGCCCACCGCCUGGGGAGUACGGCCGCAAGGUUAAA